GACGGAGGUUGCAAGCGUUAUCCGGAAUUAUUGGGCGUAAAGCGUCCGCAGGUGGCCGUUCAAGUCUGCUGUCAAAGCCCGGGGCUUAACUUCGGAAAGGCAGUGGAAACUGAACAGCUAGAGUAUGGUAGGGGCAGAGGGAAUUCCUGGUGUAGCGGUGAAAUGCGUAGAGAUCAGGAAGAACAUCGGUGGCGAAGGCGCUCUGCUGGACCAUAACUGACACUCAGGGACGAAAGCUAGGGGAGCGAAUGGG
Molecule: ribosomal RNA, 253 nt
Filed under: uncultured bacterium
Lineage: Bacteria
Description: partial 16S ribosomal RNA
Rfam family: Bacterial small subunit ribosomal RNA
Source: RNAcentral